CGAGGUGUAGCGCAGUUGGCAGCGCGCCUGCUUUGGGAGCAGGAUGUCGCAGGUUCGAGUCCUGUCACCUCGACCA
Molecule: transfer RNA, 76 nt
Filed under: Clostridiaceae bacterium
Lineage: Bacteria; Bacillati; Bacillota; Clostridia; Eubacteriales; Clostridiaceae
Description: tRNA-Pro
Rfam family: tRNA
About the family: Transfer RNA (tRNA) molecules are approximately 80 nucleotides in length. Their secondary structure includes four short double-helical elements and three loops (D, anti-codon, and T loops).
Source: RNAcentral